Molecule: non-coding RNA, 567 nt
Organism: Callithrix jacchus (white-tufted-ear marmoset)
Lineage: Eukaryota; Metazoa; Chordata; Mammalia; Primates; Cebidae
Source: the annotation of a RefSeq genome assembly
GAGAAACGAGACCCAGCACUGGAAGUCUCAGUGCUCCAUUCGGUGAUCAGCACUGAACACAGAGGACUCACCAUGAAGUUUGGGCCGAGCUGGGUUUUCCUUGUUGCUAUUUUAAGAGGUGUCCAGUGUGAGGUGCAGCUGGUGGAGUCUGGGGGAGGCUUGGUCCAGCCCGGGGGGUCCCUGAGACUCUCCUGUGCAGCCUCUGGAUUCACCUUCAGUGACUAUGGCAUGGACUGGGUCCGCCAGGCUCCAGGGAAGGGGCUGGAGUGGGUGGCAGUUAUAUGGUAUGACGGAAGUCAGAAAUACUAUGCAGACUCCGUGAAGGGCCGAGUCACCAUCUCCAGAGACAAUUCCAAGAACAUGCUCUAUCUUCAAAUGAACAGCCUGAGAGCCGAGGACACGGCCAUGUAUUACUGUGCGAGACACAGUGAGGGGAAGUCAGUGUGAGCCCGGACACAAACCUCCCUGCAGGGGCACUGCAGGGAAAUGAGCUGCAGGGGGCGCUCAGGAGCCACUGACCAGAGUCAACUGCAAAGGCAGGAGCAGAUGGAGGCUGAUUUCCCAUCA